RNAcentral lists this ribosomal RNA (446 nucleotides) under uncultured bacterium. RNAcentral describes it as "partial 16S ribosomal RNA". It matches the Rfam family "Bacterial small subunit ribosomal RNA", at positions 338 to 795 of the family's 1533-position model. The record is from RNAcentral.
CCUACGGGGGGCAGCAGUCGAGAAUCAUUCACAAUGGGGGAAACCCUGAUGGUGCGACGCCGCGUGGGGGAAUGAAGGUCUUCGGAUUGUAAACCCCUGUCAUGUGGGAGCAAAUUAAAAAGAUAGUACCACAAGAGGAAGAGACGGCUAACUCUGUGCCAGCAGCCGCGGUAAUACAGAGGUCUCAAGCGUUGUUCGGAAUCACUGGGCGUAAAGCGUGCGUAGGCUGUUUCGUAAGUCGUGUGUGAAAGGUGCGGGCUCAACCCGCGGACGGCACAUGAUACUGCGAGACUAGAGUAAUGGAGGGGGAACCGGAAUUCGCGGUGUAGCAGUGAAAUGCGUAGAUAUCGAGAGGAACACUCGUGGGGAAGGCGGGUUCCUGGACAUUAACUGACGCUGAGGCACGAAGGCCAGGGGAGCGAAAGGGAUUAGAUACCCUUGUAGGC